This 409-nucleotide long non-coding RNA is filed under the name Elaeis guineensis (African oil palm). RNAcentral's name for it is "long non-coding RNA (EGUI_LNC055297)". Lineage: Eukaryota; Viridiplantae; Streptophyta; Magnoliopsida; Arecales; Arecaceae. The record is from RNAcentral.
AAUGAUAUGUUGUUAAUAGGACGAUAGCAAUAUCGAGUAUAGAUCAUUGUAUACCAUAUGAGUUGGUUAUUUCUUAACCAAAAAGUAUGGAGAUACUGGUAUGGUAUGCAGGUGGAAUAUAGGAGUACAUUCACAUCGAAUGUGACUAUUUAUCGAGCACUCUGUUGUCAAGAGUUGCUCGUGAAGGAUAUGGGUAUAAGUGUCCCUCAGACCUGAGAUCACCACAGUGACUUGUAAGCAACUCACUAUACUUUAGCACCAGACCAUUUAAGUUUAUAAUUCAGUGACGGAAGAUUUUUGGGUGCAGUUAAGUACUUAUCAAGUCGGUGCAUGCGUCAAGAUGGAAUUGACUCCUCUAAAUUAGUAGGAGAUAUGCAGCAGUGUAUUUCAAUUUAGUAAAACUUUGGCC